UUUUGGAGUAGGAGGAAGAAAAAAAAUACAAGCAACUGAAAAUGGGAGUAGAAAGUAAAUGUCAAAGGAAAUCUUCAGCCAUAACUACACUAUUUUUAGGCAUAACUAGUUGGGGGGAAUUAAAGAGUUGUCAAUAGAUUUAAAUAAGAAGUUUGCAAAUCUUUUCAGAUCCCGUAAUUAGUCUUUAAUACCUUUAAGUUUUAUCUUCUCCCAUUUAUCUCUUCUGCUCCACAGCUGAAAAAAGGGAUCUGAGAUCCUCUGCCCAUCAAUUUAUUUCUAGACAAGAGACUAGUCCAGGAAACAAACAGCAGGCAAAGACUUUAUUAAACAUAAGCAGACAUUACAGUUUCGCUUCUGAUGGCCUUGGCUGAAGUCUCAGCAUUGAGAUAAUUGAAAUGCAAGAUUACACUUAAUCUUUGACAGGCUAGCCUAAUUAAUUGUGAUUCUUAUCACCUAAAUUGGAGUCUGAUUUAAAGAUUACCAUUUAUAGCAUAUAGCAAAUUAAGAUGCUGGGCAAGAGAUAAAUGGGGAAGAGAAAAAGACUUCUCCCUCUCCCCACACGGAAAAUAAUUUGUAGUUGAGUCCCUAGGAUCUGGGAGCCUAAUGGUUUAUAAGAAAAGUUGGGAUCCUUUGGUUGGUUGGCUUAGAAAGAUUUCAUACAAAGUGUGCUGAGAGGCCCCAAAAGGGAAGGAAAGAGAAGAACCGUGUGACUCAAACCCAACGGAC
Molecule: long non-coding RNA, 726 nt
Filed under: Bos taurus (domestic cattle)
Lineage: Eukaryota; Metazoa; Chordata; Mammalia; Artiodactyla; Bovidae
Description: long non-coding RNA NONBTAT012177
Source: RNAcentral